Molecule: transfer-messenger RNA, 381 nt
Filed under: Anaerolineales
Lineage: Bacteria; Bacillati; Chloroflexota; Anaerolineae
Also listed under: 1 other name
Description: Fen-1038 sp016195815 Standard tmRNA
Rfam family: transfer-messenger RNA
About the family: Bacterial tmRNA, also known as 10Sa RNA or SsrA, is named for its dual tRNA and mRNA-like properties.
Source: RNAcentral
GGGGAUGACAGGCUUCGACGGGAGAGGCUGGUUCCGGAAUGCGAGCCGAGCGGCGCCGACCUCGUAAACUCAGCGCAAAAACUCAAGUGCCAAAAACACUUCCUACGCUGCCAUGCCCCUCGCCGCCUAGGCGAUGACAUAACAGCCGGCCCCUUUAUGAGGCCGCGUCCGCCUGCCCCGUUCUCCACCCGGUGCAGGGCCGGGCGAGACAAUGGUGGAGUGCCGCGCACAACUCCGCUAAGUGCGCUUAAGAUUAGCGGAUGGCCGCAGGGUUACCAGCCCGCCGGGAUCCCUGUGGUGACUAACUUCGGCAGGCUACGCUCGUAGAGUUUCGAGGGUCGAUUCUUUCGGACGCGGGUUCAAUUCCCGCCAUCUCCACUC